AGUGAACGCUGGCGGUAGGCCUAACACAUGCAAGUCGAACGGCAGCACAGUAAGAGCUUGCUCUUACGGGUGGCGAGUGGUGGACGGGUGAGGAAUACAUCGGAAUCUACUUUUUCGUGGGGGAUAACGUAGGGAAACUUACGCUAAUACCGCAUACGACCUACGGGUGAAAGCAGGGGAUCUUCGGACCUUGCGCGAUUGAAUGAGCCGAUGUCGGAUUAGCUAGUUGGCGGGGUAAAGGCCCACCAAGGCGACGAUCCGUAGCUGGUCUGAGAGGAUGAUCAGCCACACUGGAACUGAGACACGGUCCAGACUCCUACGGGAGGCAGCAGUGGGGAAUAUUGGACAAUGGGCGCAAGCCUGAUCCAGCCAUACCGCGUGGGUGAAGAGGGCCUUCGGGUUGUAAAGCCCUUUUGUUGGGAAAGAAAAGCAGCAGGUUAAUACCCCGCUGUUCUGACGGUACCCAAAGAAUAAGCACCGGCUAACUUCGUG
RNAcentral lists this ribosomal RNA (492 nucleotides) under uncultured bacterium. RNAcentral describes it as "partial 16S ribosomal RNA". It matches the Rfam family "Bacterial small subunit ribosomal RNA", at positions 29 to 507 of the family's 1533-position model. The record is from RNAcentral.